CCUACGGGAGGCAGCAGUGAGGAAUAUUGGUCAAUGGACGAGAGUCUGAACCAGCCAAGUAGCGUGAAGGAUGACUGCCCUAUGGGUUGUAAACUUCUUUUAUAUGGGAAUAAAAUGUUUCACGUGUGGGAUUUUGUAUGUACCAUAUGAAUAAGGAUCGGCUAACUCCGUGCCAGCAGCCGCGGUAAUACGGAGGAUCCGAGCGUUAUCCGGAUUUAUUUGGUUUAAAGGGAGCGUAGGUGGAUUGUUAAGUCAGUUGUGAAAGUUUGCGGCUCAACCGUAAAAUUGCAGUUGAAACUGGCAGUCUUGAGUACAGUAGAGGUGGGCGGAAUUCGUGGUGUAGCGGUGAAAUGCUUAGAUAUCACGAAGAACUCCGAUUGCGAAGGCAGCUCACUGGACUGCAACUGACACUGAGGCUCGAAAGUGUGGGUAUCAAACAGGAUUAGAUACCCUAGUAGUC
Molecule: ribosomal RNA, 460 nt
Filed under: uncultured bacterium
Lineage: Bacteria
Description: partial 16S ribosomal RNA
Rfam family: Bacterial small subunit ribosomal RNA
Source: RNAcentral